AAUUCAGACAUUCUUGGUCAUUUAGAGGAAGUAAAAGUCGUAACAAGGUUUCCGUAGGUGAACCUGCGGAAGGAUCAUUACCUAGAGUCAGUGGGCUUUGCCUGCUAUCUCUUACCCAUGUUUUUUGAGCACUUACGUUUCCUCGGUGGGUUCGCCCGCCGAUUGGACCACUUAAACCCUUUGUAGUUUUGUAAUCAGCGUCUGAAAAACUUAAUAGUUACAACUUUCAACAACGGAUCUCUUGGUUCUGGCAUCGAUGAAGAACGCAGCGAAAUGCGAUAAGUAGUGUGAAUUGCAGAAUUCAGUGAAUCAUCGAAUCUUUGAACGCACAUUGCGCCCCUUGGUAUUCCAUGGGGCAUGCCUGUUCGAGCGUCAUUUGUACCUUCAAGCUCUGCUUGGUGUUGGGUGUUUGUCUCGCCUUUGCGUGUAGACUCGCCUUAAAACAAUUGGCAGCCGGCGUAUUGAUUUCGGAGCGCAGUACAUCUCGCGCUUUGCACUCAUAACGACGACGUCCAAAAGUACUUUUUACACUCUUGACCUCGGAUCAGGUAGGGAUACCCGCUGAACUUAAGCAUAUCAAUAAGCGGAGGAAAUGUCUCC
RNAcentral lists this ribosomal RNA (600 nucleotides) under uncultured Phoma. RNAcentral describes it as "eukaryotic LSU rRNA". The stretch from base 222 to 375 matches the Rfam family "5.8S ribosomal RNA". The record is from RNAcentral. Lineage: Eukaryota; Fungi; Ascomycota.